GAUGAGAUAAUGAUAAAUCAGAUUUUUUCUCAUGAUUUUUAGCUUUUUCCUCCUAAAAAAAUUUAAAUUUAACUAAAAAUGCUAAAAAUCAAGAGUAAAAAACCUAAUUUGUUAUUCUCUUAUU
This 124-nucleotide microRNA precursor is filed under the name Gossypium arboreum. RNAcentral's name for it is "MIR7504 microRNA precursor family". It matches the Rfam family "MIR7504 microRNA precursor family". The record is from Rfam by way of RNAcentral. Lineage: Eukaryota; Viridiplantae; Streptophyta; Magnoliopsida; Malvales; Malvaceae.